CCUCUUCUGGGUAUCAACAAAUCAAGGUAUAUCAAGUUGCUGUAAGAUUAAGCAUCUUCCUUUGAAUUAAAGGGUGGGCAAGGCAAUUCAAUAUAAGGAAUAGGUUCAAGAGCCAGACAAAGCAUUAGGGAUAACCCCUGCUCCCACUGUUAGGAACUCCAUGAGUAGGCCAAGCUAAACAACUGUCUCAUAUAUGUAGAGGGCUUAGGUUGGUCACAUGCAGGCUCCCUGGUGGCUGGUUCAGACUCAGUGAGUUCCUAUGAGCCAUGUUAGUCAUUUCUGUGGGAUUUCAUGUAAAAUCCUUGACCCAUCUGGCUCCUACGUUCCUUCCUCCCUCUCUUCAGCUGGAUUCCCCAAACUCAGGCUAAUGUUUGGCUGUAGGUCUCUGCAUUUGUUUCCAUCAGUUACUGGAUUAGGGCUCUCUGAUCACAGGAGAGGGCCAGGUCAGACUAUGUAUCCACUAUUGUUAGGAAUCUUAGCUGUGUCAUCCUUAUAGAUUCAUGGGAGUUUCUCUUGCAAAAAGGUUAUACCUAACCCUGAAAUGCACCCCCUUUUCCGUCCUCUCUUUAAUUAGUCUCCCCCUCCACCCUCCUCCUAACCUGACUCCUCAAGUUCCCAUUCCUACCCAUCUCCAGUAAACUCAGGAGAUCUCUUCUAUUUCCCUUUCCUAGGGAGAUCCAUGCAUCCACCCUUGGGCCUUCCUUGUAUCUAGCCUCUCCAGAUGUGUGGAUUGUAGCAUGUUAUCCUUUACUUUGCAGCUAAUAUCCACUUAUGAAGCACCCCUCUAUUGAAGAUGCUGCUAAUGCAAACAGUAACGGAUAAGAAAAAAGUUGUACAGCUCCUCAAAGUGGCAGAUCUCUGCUUCUACUUCCAUCAGGUACUGGAUGAAGACUCUAUGAUGACAAUUAGGGUCGUCACCAAUCUGAUUGCAGGGUAAGGCCAAUUCAGGCACCCUCUCCAUUAUUGCUAGGAGUCUUAGCUGGGGUCAAGUGAUCCUUGUGGUUUCCUGGGAGUUUCACUGGCACCAGGUUUCUCCUUAACAUCUCAUCUAUUUCCUCUUCUCAGGGAGAUCUAUGCAUCCCUCUUAGGGUACUCCUUGAUACCUAGGUUCUCUGGGGCAAAGGAUUGUAGUCUGUUUAUACUUUGCUUUACAUCUAAUAUCCACUUAUGAGUGAGUACAUACCAUGUUUGUCUUUCUGGGUCUGAGUUGCCUCACUCGGGAUGAGCUUUUCUAGUUCCAUCCAUUUGCCUGCAAAUUUCAUGAUGUCAUUGUUUUGUUUUUUUCCCCCACUGAGUAAAACUCCAUUGUGUAGAUAUACCACAUUUCUUUAUCCAAUCUUUGAUUGAGGGACAUCUAGGUUGUUUCCAGGUUUUGGCUAUUAUGAGUAAUGCUGCUAUGAACAUAGUUGAGCAAGUAUCCUUGUGUUCUGGUUGAAUAUCCUUUGGGUAUAUGCACAAGAGUAGUAUUGCUGGGUCUUGAGGUAGAUUGAUUUCCAAUUUUCUGAGAAACCACCAUACUGAUUUCCAAAGUAUUAAGUUGUCUUCUAACAGACACUAUGUUCUAGAAAGCUUAAAGUCUUUGGGGAACAUGGAGGAGAAAACACCAACAGCUGAUGCAAAGAGUAAACCACAAUCAAGCAGGCAUUGUUAUACGAGGACAGGUUAUGAGUAAGUACAGUGGCAACAUCUUUGAAACCAAAUUAACACUUUAAGACGAAUAUAGAAAUUAUGGUAAAGACCAUAAUUAUACAUUAGAAUUAUAACUAGAAAACAAGAGUGGGGAUCUCAAAGGAAGACCAUCACAAAAUCCCUCCAGGUAUUUUGAGAAAUCACUUUGUCCUCUCAGGCAGCCCCCAUGGGCUACAGUUCAUAGUAUCAGAGCUUCAAGCCUGAAGUAAUUUUUCUUUGCAGAUAUCAAAGAGAUAUCAUCAAAAAGAGAUGUUCAAACUAAUAUGAUAUAGUCAUUGACAAAAUUUUAAAACACAUGGACGCAUCAGUAGAUGAUGCCUCUGGCAGUUUCUAUGAAAAUGUGAAAAUGAUUUAGAGUAAAGCAAUAAUCUUAGAAUAUAAUAGCAGCAGCAAUUCACCCUUACUUAUCACAGUAUUUAUAGCAUUUAGCCCAGUGCCUGGCAAUGGUUUAACAUGAGAAAAAAUAUUUUUAGAAUAAAUGAAUACCUCUUCAUUCUACUAAUCCUCUCCCCUUUAAUUUCAACUUUAUUUUGAGACCUACUUUCUUCCUAAUGAUAACUAGGUCUCUCUCAGCCAAGAGACAAAUUUAUAGGGACUAUGGAAAAUGACCAAAUUCCAAAGCUUUCCUGAAAGGAAAAAUACAACUAGAAUCUCUAUCUGAAGGAAAAAUGAUAACAAAGUUAUAUGUAUUUGAAAGGGAGUCAUCAUCUUGGGGGAGGAACAUGCACAGCAAGCCAUUGGGUAGCUGAUUACUGUCCUGUGUGUUUUACUGGAUAUGGGAAAAAUAGCAUAUCCAUUUGUUUCUCUGUAUAAACAAUUAGGUCACAGUUAAGCAUUCUUCAUUAUGAGAAAGGUAUUCCAGCCUUCAUAAGAUUCAAGCCUGGCACAAAAUUUUGCAUUGCAUAUGCUAUAUGAGUAGUAUGAUAUGAAAAUGUAGGGAAUGAAUCCAUACAGUGACUGAAAUUCUCUGGUCACAAAAAAGAUCUAUUCCAGGAUGAACUAAGAUCCUAAGUGCCACACCACAGUAAAAAUGAUUAAGAGACAUUUUUAUAAAAAUUAAAACUAUUUAUAAAAGGGGAAAAUUCUAUGGUAUUUUUAUUGUACUUACAUGAUGCUUUCUUCAACAUUUAUUUUACAGCAAAUAUGAUAUAAAUUAUUUUUAGUUGUGUUUUCCAUGUCCUAUGAUUGUGUAUGCUGAUUGGCUCUAAGAUAUAUAAAAUAAUUGCAGUCAAAUCUUUUCCUAAUGAUGAACACAGGUGAAAAAUACAACAUGAAAAUGUUAGAGGUGAAAAUGUAAUAUGGGUAAUACUAUUUAGGCAAACUAGAAAAAUGGCCAGGAGGCUGGGGAGAUGGCUCAGUGGUUAAGAGCACUUACUGCUCUUGCCAAGGACCCUGGUUAGUUUCCCAGCCCCCAUAUUGAGUAGUUCACAACUUCUUGUAACUCCAGAUUCAUGAAAUAUAAUGCUCUCUUAUAGCCUCUUUGGACACAUAUGUACAUGUGGUGCACAUAUGAACACUCAGACACACACACACACUCACAUAUUAAAUCAAUCAAUCAAUCAGCAAAUACAUAGUUUUUUUAAAAAAAUGGGUUAGCUUGGCAGUAUAUACUUUAUUGGCUCAACUGGGCUGCUUCUAAUCACUAUACCUUUAUUAAAUUUUAAUGUUACAUUUACUAAGUUUGAAUAUCUUACUGCCAUUCACAUGGUAGAAUUUAAAAGCACAAAAUGUUGAUGCAUGAAAGACAGUAUUCCUCCUACUCUGGGAUAGUCUUUCAGUUAUAAUUGCUUGUGUUCUUUGUUUUCAAACAAACAACAGAUUUAAUACUAAUCAUAGUGUUUUGUGUCGUGGUUAUUCUUCAAGAGUACAACUAUUGUGCUUUCAUUUUCAUUGUGGAAUAGAAUUUCUUUACAGGUGUACUGCAUUUUUCACUAGUUCCUGCAAAUAAACACGUUGAAUUUAGAAUUUUGGUACUACUACUAAUACCACAACAAACAUCUUCACUGAACAUAUUACGCCAAACAAUGUGGAUACAUAUCUAGAAUACACUCAGAGCACUUUCGGUUACUGUUUAGAAAGAUAACAUUAUUCUAUGCAUGCAUAUAUUCUGAUUCUUCUGCAGGAAUACAUAUAUUUUUAUAUAUAGUCAUUGUGUCAUUCUCUUCCUUUCCUAAUGGAUACUGCUUGUUUCUCAACAUAAGUUCGCAUCCCUACACAUAAUACUAGCACAGUAUAUCACCACAGAUUAUUCCAAGUCUAGGAAAGGGGAUAACAUUAUGGUGGUGAAUUUUUAAUAUUUUAUUUAAUUUUUUAAAUUAUCUGUAUGUUUGCAUCUGUAUGGAGGUUUAUGUACAUAUGUUUCAUGAAGGUCUGAAAAAGCUGUAGUAUCACUAGAAGCAGAAUUUACUAAUGACUGUAAACUGCCUAUUAUGGGUGCUGGGAAACAAAUUUAGGUCUUCUGCAGGAGCACAUCGUGUUCUUCACCUCUGAACCAUCUCUCCACCCCUGAUUGUACAAUUUUAACUAGUAUUAAUUUUAUUAUGAAUAAGUCAAAACAUUUCACGUGCUUUUGUCAGCUGUAUCUAUUGGCCAUUUCUAUUCUUUGAUCCUGUUGAAUUUAUUCUGUUUUCCUUGUUGAUUUGUAAAAAUAUUUUCCAUAACAUGAAAAGUAGCUUUUUGUGAUAUGAAUUAAAAUUAAUUUCUAUUUUUAUUUGUCUAUUGAGUGUUUAUAAUGCUACAAUCCUUUAAAUUUUUGAUAAUGGGCAGAAUGCUAAAUAAUUCUUAAUUGUUUAUAGACAGAAGAAUUCUAGAUAGUGGAGAAACAACUUAAACUAGUUUUGUCUGUAUGUAUUUAUAUAAAUAGUCCCUGUAUACUCUUGGGAUUUUCUUGGAACCUGAUUGUAACUUCGCUGGCUUACUUGGUAAUGAGGUAAGAAAAAUCUUGAACAAAUGGUUUUAUAAAUGGAGGCUUUUUUCUGUCCUUCCCUUUCCUGUGACCAUUAGUAAAUAAUCACUCAGAGGCUUAUAUUAAUUAUAAAUGUUUGGCUGAUGGCUCAGUCUCAUUACUAGCUAGCUCUUACAUUUAAAUUAACCCAUUUCUAUUAAUCUAUGUAUUGCCAUGUGGCUGUGACAUUAUAGGUCUGCUGGCAUCUUGCUCCCUGGGCAACUGGAUGGCAUCUUCCCUAAAUCGGCCCACUCUUUUCCCUGGUAUCUCUGCUUUGAUCUCACACCUGGCUCCAUCCUACCCUACCACAGACCAAAGCAGCUUUAUUUAUUAACCAAUGGGAGCAACAUAAAGUCAGAGCAUACAGAAAGGCAUCCUGCAUGAUGAAUAUUCCUUAAAAUAAUGUAAAAUGCAUUGUUAUUCUUUUCUUCUAGCGCUUUGAUAAUUUCUAUUGCAUUGUGUUUUAACAUUAGCUUUGGAAUAAUCAGAAUUUCUUUUAUUCAAAAGCAAGAGAUAUAAAUCUACUUCAAGUCAUUUUAGAGAAUUCUAUGGGCCCAACCAAAGUUGAACAACUGUCCUUUCUUCUCAGAUUUGAAGGCUUUUAUAUAUAAGAAGAAUAUCAAUCCACUAUAUUUAAUUUAAUACAUUCUGUAUGAACUGUUCUUAAAUAAGAGCAACCUUUGCCCCUGAACACAUUUGUUAGAGCCUGGAGAUGUUGUCAUUAUUACAGCUUGGGAAAGUUAUACAUACUUUUAAAUGAAAGACAUGGAUGUGGUUAAACAUCCCAGAAUGUGCUGAUCAACCCACAAAGAAAAUAAUAAUAUAUUUCUCCAAAGACCACUAAUGCUGUGUUGUGCAGGUUUUAGACACUUAAUGAUAUCCUAGAUUUUAUAUCUAGGUGGGUUAGUCUGUUAACUUCAUGCAGUUAGCUACUCACAGUAUCUAUUAUAGGUUUCUAAUACAAUUAAUCCAUCUCUUCCCUAGUUGCUUAGGGUCAGAGUGUUUUCUUUUAAAUUUUUAUUAAUUUAUUGAUAAUAAAAAUUUUACUGUUAUAUUUUGAUCAUAGCCACUCAUCUUCAACUCCUACUAGAUGCAUUCCUCUUCCUUAUCCACCUACAUUAUCUUUUCAUUUUUCUCCUGAAGCUUUAAGUCCAAUUUAUGCUGCCUAAAACCCUUGGAGUUGGGACCAGAGAAAUAUCCUGCCCUGAAUUAUGGUCCACCCACUGGGGGAUAUACACUUAAAGAAAAUUGACUAUCCUCUCCGCAUGCCAAUUACUAAUAACUCCUCAGGGAGGGGUAGGACUUCAUGCCUGUAUCUCCCUCCCCCCACCAACAUGCAUGCCUUGUCCAUGAACUCACAACCUGUGUAAGUUCAUGUGUGCAUCUUCCCUAUGUGUCUAUAAAACACUGUUUCCUUGAAGCUAUCUCUCACCUCUGGCUUUUAUAAUAUUUCUGCUCCUUCUUCCACAUUGAUCCCUGAGCCUUAGGACAAUGAGGUGUAAUGUAGAUUUCCCACCUGGGACUGAGCACUCCAUAGUCUUUUAUGCUCUGCACUUUGACAAGUUGUAGGUCUUUGUUUUAAUUACUUUCUACUGCUAAAACAAAUUUCUCUGGUGAAGGUGGAGAGGUGCAUUUAUCUAUGGAUAUAACAAUAAUUCAUUUUGAGUUGGUUUAAUACUAUAUCCGUCUAACAGAAUAACAUUAGGCUAUCCCUUAGAGGUGAUGGCCUGUCUUUCCACAGGUCUUGGCCUCAAUAAUGGUGGCAACUAUGGGUUCCAUCUUAUGGGUUGCUACCCCCAUGAUAUUUAUGCCACUAAUGCACCUGUAGGUAUACCUUGGCAGACCAUUCAGAGUUCACAGCAGGGUAAGACAGGAUUCCUUUCAUUUUGAAAGCUAGACAGUAGGAAUGGUUUAUCACAGCAACAGAGCUCAGACUAGGACAAUUCCCUUAUAAUUUUUUAUUGUUUGAAAUCAAUUGAUUUCUUUAAAUUAAUGUACAAGUUAAUAAAUGUCAAAUGACUUUGUAAAUGAUUUAAAUCUCAUAUUUUUUGCAAAAUAAUUACUUGGUGUUUUAUUGUAUAUAAUGUAUAGAAUUACAAAGAAUGGCAAUUAGUAACUCUAAAAUUUUAUACUUUGUAUUGCAUUCUAUUUUAAAUUAAAUUGUUUGAUAAUUUUAAAAUAUUAUUAUGAAUUAGCAGAAAUGAAAGUUCUCUUGUCUUAAUGCUAUUGUUUUACAAUAAGAACAGUACCUCUCUAACUGUUGCUAUUUAAAUGUUAAACUUGAAUUCUAUUAAUUUUGUAGUGUUUUUGGAGAUUAUUUUGAUCUGCUAUGUUUGGUAAUAUUUUGUAUGUACUAUUGAAUUAUAGAGCAUUCUUUCAUUACUAUUAUAAAUUGCAUUUUGUGAUGACUUCUUAUACUUUUAACAUUUUCUUGAUUUUGUUUAUUAAUAUUUUACUUACAAUGUUUCCAUAAUUUUAAUAUGUUACACUUAAUUAAGCACUUUAAACUAUUUUGAAAGAUCAUAUAAUAAGUUUUUAUAUACUUGUAAAACAGGUAUUACAUAUACUUUCUCAUUUUAGACAUUUAAAAUGUUCUGUUCAAUGAUAUUAUUACAUUCAAGUCUUUCUGCUACACAAUUAUUUUUAGUCUCCUACAUAUAUAUUGAAUGGAAUCUUUGAAGUUAUUCACAGAUGAUUUGAUUUCAUUGUCUUCUUGGGAGUUUCUUUCUCUUCAGUGCUUCUUCUCUUCUUAUUAUUAGCCUCGAUUGUUCACUAAAAUAUUUUAAUGAAAAAUUUCUGGAUAUAGUUA
This is a long non-coding RNA of Peromyscus californicus insignis, 7442 nucleotides long. RefSeq lists it as uncharacterized. The transcript has 3 exons. The record is from RefSeq and is a predicted model, not a curated record. Lineage: Eukaryota; Metazoa; Chordata; Mammalia; Rodentia; Cricetidae.